This 51-nucleotide non-coding RNA is filed under the name unclassified sequences. RNAcentral describes it as "Mu-gpT-DE RNA". It matches the Rfam family "Mu-gpT-DE RNA". The record is from Rfam by way of RNAcentral.
UCCUGACAGCCCAUUGGGGGCUGACACUAGCCACGACAGGAGAUUGACAUG